RNAcentral lists this ribosomal RNA (468 nucleotides) under uncultured bacterium. RNAcentral describes it as "partial 16S ribosomal RNA". It matches the Rfam family "Bacterial small subunit ribosomal RNA", at positions 28 to 507 of the family's 1533-position model. The record is from RNAcentral.
GACGAACGCUGGCGGCGUGCUUAACACAUGCAAGUCGAACGGAAAGGCCCUGCUUUUGUGGGGUGCUCGAGUGGCGAACGGGUGAGUAACACGUGAGUAACCUGCCCUUGACUUUGGGAUAACUUCAGGAAACUGGGGCUAAUACCGGAUAGGAGCUCCUGCUGCAUGGUGGGGGUUGGAAAGUUUCGGCGGUUGGGGAUGGACUCGCGGCUUAUCAGCUUGUUGGUGGGGUAGUGGCUUACCAAGGCGUUGCCGGGUAGCCGGCCUGAGAGGGUGACCGGCCACAUUGGGACUGAGAUACGGCCCAGACUCCUACGGGAGGCAGCAGUGGGGAAUAUUGCACAAUGGGCGGAAGCCUGAGGCAGCAACGCCGCGUGCGGGAUGACGGCCUUCGGGUUGUAAACCGCUUUCGCCUGUGACGAAGCGUGAGUGACGGUAAUGGGUAAAGAAGCACCGGCUAACUACGUG